AAAGUAAAGAGUUUGAUCCUGGCUCAGAUUGAACGCUGGCGGU
This 43-nucleotide ribosomal RNA is filed under the name Candidatus Ichthyocystis hellenicum. RNAcentral describes it as "bacterium 2013Arg42i 16S ribosomal RNA (partial)". The record is from RNAcentral. Lineage: Bacteria; Pseudomonadati; Pseudomonadota; Betaproteobacteria; Burkholderiales.